GUGGGGUUGCCCGAGCGGUCCAAGGGCGCGGUCUGCAACACCGUUGUUCGCCGGUUCGAAUCCGGCACCCCACUCCA
RNAcentral lists this transfer RNA (77 nucleotides) under Massilia violaceinigra. Its description in RNAcentral is "tRNA-Cys". It matches the Rfam family "tRNA". Rfam says of the family: Transfer RNA (tRNA) molecules are approximately 80 nucleotides in length. Their secondary structure includes four short double-helical elements and three loops (D, anti-codon, and T loops). Lineage: Bacteria; Pseudomonadati; Pseudomonadota; Betaproteobacteria; Burkholderiales; Oxalobacteraceae. The record is from RNAcentral. RNAcentral also lists the same sequence under 3 other names.